RNAcentral lists this ribosomal RNA (450 nucleotides) under Pseudomonas sp. AR462-1. Its description in RNAcentral is "bacterial SSU rRNA". It matches the Rfam family "Bacterial small subunit ribosomal RNA", at positions 62 to 507 of the family's 1533-position model. Lineage: Bacteria; Pseudomonadati; Pseudomonadota; Gammaproteobacteria; Pseudomonadales; Pseudomonadaceae. The record is from RNAcentral.
UCGAGCGGAUGAGUGGAGCUUGCUCCAUGAUUCAGCGGCGGACGGGUGAGUAAUGCCUAGGAAUCUGCCUGGUAGUGGGGGACAACGUUUCGAAAGGAACGCUAAUACCGCAUACGUCCUACGGGAGAAAGUGGGGGAUCUUCGGACCUCACGCUAUCAGAUGAGCCUAGGUCGGAUUAGCUAGUUGGUGAGGUAAAGGCUCACCAAGGCGACGAUCCGUAACUGGUCUGAGAGGAUGAUCAGUCACACUGGAACUGAGACACGGUCCAGACUCCUACGGGAGGCAGCAGUGGGGAAUAUUGGACAAUGGGCGAAAGCCUGAUCCAGCCAUGCCGCGUGUGUGAAGAAGGUCUUCGGAUUGUAAAGCACUUUAAGUUGGGAGGAAGGGCAGUAAGUUAAUACCUUGCUGUUUUGACGUUACCAACAGAAUAAGCACCGGCUAACUUCGUG